Molecule: ribosomal RNA, 253 nt
Filed under: uncultured bacterium
Lineage: Bacteria
Description: partial 16S ribosomal RNA
Rfam family: Bacterial small subunit ribosomal RNA
Source: RNAcentral
UACAGAGGUCUCGAGCGUUGUUCGGAUUCACUGGGCGUAAAGGGCGCGUAGGCGGCACGGCAAGUCGGGUGUGAAAGCCCGAGGCUCAACCCCGGAGGGUCUUCCGAAACUGCCGAGCUAGAGUGCGGAAGAGGCAACCGGAAUUCCCAGUGUAGCGGUGAAAUGCGUAGAUAUUGGGAAGAACACCAGUGGCGAAGGCGGCUAUCUGGACGGUUACUGACACUAAGACUCGAAAGCGUGGGGAGCAAACAGG